CAUAGGAUAGUUUAAUAAAAUAUUAACUUUGGAAGUUAAUGAUAAAGAAUCUAUCUUUUCCUUUGA
Molecule: transfer RNA, 66 nt
Filed under: Cyrtonotula maculosa
Lineage: Eukaryota; Metazoa; Arthropoda; Insecta; Blattodea; Blaberidae
Description: tRNA-Pro
Rfam family: tRNA
About the family: Transfer RNA (tRNA) molecules are approximately 80 nucleotides in length.
Source: RNAcentral